UGUGGAACUCGAUGCCAGAACCCUGAGAUCAUGACCUGUGCUGAAGGCAGAGGCUUAACCCAGGUGAGGAAACAGAAGAUCCACAACUUCUUGUAACGUGACUCUGAUUCCAUAGACAGCAAGAGGCAGAGCUAGAAACUGAUCCCAGGUUUGUGUGGCUGCAAAAUCCAAGGUAUUUCUGCACAUCCCUUUGUCUUCCCCAAUGUCAUUCAUAUCCAACUUUGGAAA
Molecule: long non-coding RNA, 228 nt
Filed under: Mustela putorius furo (domestic ferret)
Lineage: Eukaryota; Metazoa; Chordata; Mammalia; Carnivora; Mustelidae
Description: lncRNA (ENSMPUG00000026282.1)
Source: RNAcentral